UCCGGUUUGGCACCGGCAGUCCCCCCAGAGUCCCCGGCUCGAAGGGGGUUAGCCCUUCUCUCCGCUGGCAACUGGGGGCGGGGGUUGCGCUCGUUGCGGGACUUAACCCAACAUCUCACGACACGAGCUGACGACAGCCAUGCAGCACCUGUGCUAGCGCCCCGAAGGGGGCGCGCCAUUUCUGGCGCGUUUCGCUAGCAUGUCAAGCCCGGGUAAGGUUCUUCGCGUUGCGUCGAAUUAAACCACAUGCUCCACCGCUUGUGCGGGCCCCCGUCAAUUCCUUUGAGUUUCAGCCUUGCGGCCGUACUCCCCAGGCGGGGCACUUAAUGCGUUAGCGCCGGCACCCGGGGGGUCGCUCCCCCGGGCACCUAGUGCCCAUCGUUUACGGCGUGGACUAC
Molecule: unclassified non-coding RNA, 398 nt
Filed under: uncultured Gemmatimonadaceae bacterium
Lineage: Bacteria; Pseudomonadati; Gemmatimonadota; Gemmatimonadia; Gemmatimonadales; Gemmatimonadaceae
Description: contains 16S-23S intergenic spacer region
Source: RNAcentral